CCUACGGGGUGCUGCAGUGGGGAAUAUUGGACAAUGGGCGAAAGCCUGAUCCAGCCAUGCCGCGUGUGUGAAGAAGGCCUUCGGGUUGUAAAGCACUUUCAGUGGGGAAGAAAGCCUUGGGGCUAAUACCCUCGAGGAAGGACAUCACCCACAGAAGAAGCACCGGCUAACUCCGUGCCAGCAGCCGCGGUAAUACGGAGGGUGCGAGCGUUAAUCGGAAUUACUGGGCGUAAAGCGCGCGUAGGCGGUCUGAUAAGCCGGUUGUGAAAGCCCCGGGCUCAACCUGGGAACGGCAUCCGGAACUGUCAGGCUAGAGUGCAGGAGAGGAAGGUAGAAUUCCCGGUGUAGCGGUGAAAUGCGUAGAGAUCGGUAGGAAUACCAGUGGCGAAGGCGGCCUUCUGGACUGACACUGACGCUGAGGUGCGAAAGCGUGGGUAGCAAACAGGAUUAGAUACCCUUGUAGUC
This 465-nucleotide ribosomal RNA is filed under the name Vreelandella stevensii. Its description in RNAcentral is "partial 16S ribosomal RNA". It matches the Rfam family "Bacterial small subunit ribosomal RNA", at positions 338 to 795 of the family's 1533-position model. Lineage: Bacteria; Pseudomonadati; Pseudomonadota; Gammaproteobacteria; Oceanospirillales; Halomonadaceae. The record is from RNAcentral.